Molecule: ribosomal RNA, 460 nt
Filed under: uncultured bacterium
Lineage: Bacteria
Description: partial 16S ribosomal RNA
Rfam family: Bacterial small subunit ribosomal RNA
Source: RNAcentral
CCUACGGGUGGCAGCAGUGAGGAAUAUUGGUCAAUGGGCGCGAGCCUGAACCAGCCAAGUCGCGUGAAGGAUGACUGCCCUAUGAGUUGUAAACUUCUUUUAUAAGGGGAUAAAGUGCUACACGUGUGACUGGUUGAAAGUAACUUAUGAAUAAGGAUCGGCUAACUCCGUGCCAGCAGCCGCGGUAAUACGGAGGAUCCGAGCGUUAUCCGGAUGUAUUGGUUUUAAAGGGUGCGGAGGCGGUUUGUUAAGUUAGUGGUGAAAGUUUGGGGCUCAACCACGAAACUGCUUCUGAUACUGUUGGACUUGAGAACAGUUGCGGUAGGCGGAAUUCGUGGUGUAGCGGUGAAAUGCUUAGAGAUCACAAAGAACUCCGAUUGCGAAGGCAGCUUACCAAACUACAUCUGACGUUGAGGCACGAAAGCGUGGGUAUCAAACAGGAUUAGAUACCCUAGUAGUC